Molecule: long non-coding RNA, 465 nt
Organism: Erpetoichthys calabaricus (reedfish)
Lineage: Eukaryota; Metazoa; Chordata; Cladistia; Polypteriformes; Polypteridae
Exons: 3
Source: RefSeq, a predicted model, not a curated record
AAUAACACAUUUAUCUGCAGCAGCUGCUACUCUUAUAACUCGUCAUAUGAGUGCCCAGGCAGUUUCACCGUCUGCAGUGCUCCGGGUUCUUGUGUGUCGUCUGUUUCGAUCUCCACUCAGUACUAUUAUAACACUUUCACUCUUCAGAGGUCCUGCUCAGUGCCAACUCCGUACACCUGUAACACGAGUCUCUCCAUCAACUAUGGGCAAGGGAGUGUGACACAGAUCUCAAAGUGCUGCAACUCGGAUUUUUGCAACGCAGAUAAAGUGAACACAACGAACAACUUUAAUGGGCUGGUGUGCUGCGUGGGGACAGAUGGCAUCUGCCAGAACACCGUGAGUUGUACUGGUGUGCAAGACCACUGCUUCACCUCAGGCAAGUGGGAGUGAAGGCUGACUCGUCUGUCAUUUGCUUUCUUCUGUUCUCGCUCAUUCGCAGUACAGCAAACUAAAAGGGUGGCAGGA